Long non-coding RNA from Silurus meridionalis, 2047 nucleotides. RefSeq lists it as uncharacterized. The record is from RefSeq and is a predicted model, not a curated record. The transcript has 4 exons. Lineage: Eukaryota; Metazoa; Chordata; Actinopteri; Siluriformes; Siluridae.
AAUAAAUAAAAGCAAUAAAAUAAAAUAAAAACCAACCUGCACUUAAUCAAUAGUGCCAACCAACAAAACACUUUUUGGAUUCCUUGCACGGGUUCUCCUAGUCUCCUAGACCAACGCUGCUCAGAUCAUCCUCCUAGUUAGUUCACAACCCGCCAUUAAAGAAAAAUAAGAAGAAGAUUUAGGUUGGGCUCCGCGCGUGCGCAUACUGACACAAAUUCAAAAGUGCCGCCGAAUUAGCUCCGCCCACAACGGUUUGAAUGAGUUUCAGGCUGUUCCUCUGGGAAAUGUUUAAGAUAAUAACGCGCUUUUUCACUACAAGAUUCUGAGGAUACUACAGAAGAGAUCAAGCUGAUUAAGGUCGUGUGGAGAAACUGUGGAGCUCAACAGCAGAAAAGCAUGCCAAAGAGCAACCUCCUGUACAAGUCUGCUUUCCAAAGAGGCCACUCACCUAAGACUGUCCUGCUGUUGGUUAUUAAAGCUCUGUGACUCCAACAACUUUUAAGUCAUCUGUGCUUAUUUUGCUGGAUUUGUGUGCGGCUUUAAUAAUACGGAACAGUUAUCCACCUGAUUGUCCGUGUCUUUGGAACCUCACUCCAGUUGUCCGAGUCUUACCUCUCAGCUGGAUGUCCUGACAGUUGCUGCUCUCAUUUUUGCCUCCUGGACAGAAAUAUCUUGCUGUAUGUUGAAUGAUCAUCAACUCAACCCUGCCAAGACAGAACUGCUCAUGUUUUCAGCUGAUCUAACUUUGGUGUUAUUGUUGACGUAUAUAUAAAUUGCACUGGCCCGAUCCUGCAGAUUUGCCCUGUACAACAUUAUGAAGAUCAGACUCUUUCUUUUGGGCCAUGCUACAGAUCUUCCUGUCCAAGCUCUUGUUCUCUCCAAACUGGACUGUUGUAUUGCUCUCUUAGCAGACUUUCCAGCAUCUACUACCAAGCCUCUGCAGCUAAUCCAGCCUAUGGCACUGAGACUGAUCUUCAACAAGCUGAAGAGUGCACAUCACUUUUUUAAUUUUUUUAUAUUAACUGCUGUGUCUACUGUGUUAAACUAACUUGGAUUUGGUAUGUUGCUUUGGAUAAAAUGUCAUUGUGAAUGUAUAAAGGUUUUUAAAUUGCCAUUUAAUGUAGGUAUUUUUUGCAUGCUCUAACUUAUUUUCUAUAAUUGGAUUGUUCAUUUAACUUGACAUACAGUGCUUCUGUUCAAUUAUUAAUACUGUGAAUGUGCAGGUUCCUUUUAUAAGUACAGAAUAUACAGUAGCGCUGAUUGCUCUACUGUCCAAACAUGUUAAACUGUAAUAUGUCUGGAAAAUGAACUAUUAAGAUGUAUCUACAGAUGUUUGUCUGUGUAUUAUGAAUUGAGUAUAUUUUUAUACAACAUUUUUUGAUUAUUAUAAUUAAUGAUGUCUGUAUUUAUACAGUAAAUGCCUUUUAAUUUACAGAGAUUAAAUAUACAAACAUUUUAAAUAUGUGCUUUCUAGAUUUAUUUAAUCGUUAUUGUACAUGAGGAAAACUGUACUUUUACAAUAAAUUAAUGUAAAUGGACAGAUCAGAUUUAUAAAAUAACAAAUUAAAUCCUUAAAUUUAUGGUGAUUAACCUGACAGUUGGUUGUUUUUCUAUGUUAUUUGACAUAAUUUAUCUUUUUUUCUAUAGUUAAAAAAAUAUUUAUCAACAGUAAUAUUCUGUAAUUUAAGUACUUUUGACUGUAUUUUUACAGUUUUUUGAUAGUAAUUUUGUGAAAUGGUGAUUUCUGUAAUUUAACGGAUUAUCUCUGGAAGCCCUGCUGCCAGUCUUUUUACCAUUUUUUUACAGAUUUUUUUUUAGCAGUGUAGGAGAGAUUUUUGGAAUAAGCAUGUAAGCCCAUGCCAGCUUUGCUAAAGUGGUUUCACUUUCUCAGAAUCAGAUACAUUUCUGAAGCAAAAAUGUAUCUAAUGAAGGGUAUCCCUCCUUCCUUUGCAUGUGAUGCAAUGGAAAUAUUACCAUGACAAUGAUGAGAUCCCUUUAUAACUAUUGAAAUGUGAGUAUCUGAAUAUUAAUAAAUAAACAAUUAACU